GCCGCCAUCGUCUAGUGGCCUAGGACGUCACGUUCUCAACGUGAAGAUCGCGGGUUCGACUCCCGCUGGCGGUACUA
The sequence is a transfer RNA, 77 nucleotides long. It matches the Rfam family "tRNA". Rfam says of the family: Transfer RNA (tRNA) molecules are approximately 80 nucleotides in length. Their secondary structure includes four short double-helical elements and three loops (D, anti-codon, and T loops). Further hydrogen bonds mediate the characteristic L-shaped molecular structure. tRNAs have two regions of fundamental functional importance: the anti-codon, which is responsible for specific mRNA codon recognition, and the 3' end, to which the tRNAs corresponding amino acid is attached (by aminoacyl-tRNA synthetases). tRNAs cope with the degeneracy of the genetic code in two manners: having more than one tRNA (with a specific anti-codon) for a particular amino acid; and 'wobble' base-pairing, i.e. permitting non-standard base-pairing at the 3rd anti-codon position.